UCCCGGCGGUCCAAGUCGCAUCCACAAUUAUUGGGUCUAAAACAUUCGUAGCUUGUUUUGUAAGUCUCUUGUGAAAUCUCAAAUCUUAAAUUUGAGGCGUGCAAGAGAUACUGCAUUGCUUGAGACCGGAAGACGCAAAGAGUAUGACUAAGGUAGUGGUAAAAUACGUUAAUCUUGGUCAGACUAACAACGGCGAAGGCACUUUGCGAGUACGGAUCUGACAGUGAGGGAUGAAGGCUA
Molecule: ribosomal RNA, 240 nt
Filed under: uncultured archaeon
Lineage: Archaea
Description: partial 16S ribosomal RNA
Rfam family: Archaeal small subunit ribosomal RNA
Source: RNAcentral